AUACGGAGGGUGCAAGCGUUACUCGGAAUCACUGGGCGUAAAGCGCGCGCAGGCGGUCUUUUAAGUUGGAUGUGAAAGCCUACGGCUCAACCGUAGAACUGCAUCCAAAACUAUUAGACUAGAGUGUGAGAGAGGAAGAUGGAAUUAGUUGUGUAGGGGUAAAAUCCGUAGAGAUAACUAGGAAUACCAAAAGCGAAGGCAAUCUUCUGGAACACUACUGACGCUGAGGCGCGAAAGCGUGGGGAGCAAACAGCAUUAGAAACCCUAGUAGUCC
Molecule: ribosomal RNA, 274 nt
Filed under: uncultured bacterium
Lineage: Bacteria
Description: partial 16S ribosomal RNA
Rfam family: Bacterial small subunit ribosomal RNA
Source: RNAcentral